GACGAACGCUGGCGGCGUGCUUAACACAUGCAAGUCGAACGGAGAGGCCCUGCUUUUGUGGGGUGGUCGAGUGGCGAACGGGUGAGUAACACGUGAGUAACCUGCCCUUGACUUUGGGAUAACUUCAGGAAACUGGUGCUAAUACCGGAUAUGCGCUGCUGCUGCAUGGUGGGGGUGGGAAAGUGUCGGGGGUUGGGGAUGGUCUCGCGGCUGCUUAGCUUGUUGGUGGGGGGGUGGCUGACCAAGGGUUUGACGGGUAGUCGGCCUGAGAGGAUGACCGGCGACAUUGGGACUGAGAUCCUGCCCGGACUACUACGGGAGGCAGUAGUGGAGUAUAUUGCAGAAUGGGCCGAAGCCGGAUGGAGCAACGCCGCGUGCGGGAUGACGGCAUUCGCGUUGUAUACCGCUUUCGCCUGUGACGAAGCGGGAGUGACGGUAAUGGGUAAAGAAGCACCGGCUAACUACGUG
Molecule: ribosomal RNA, 468 nt
Filed under: uncultured bacterium
Lineage: Bacteria
Description: partial 16S ribosomal RNA
Rfam family: Bacterial small subunit ribosomal RNA
Source: RNAcentral